Molecule: ribosomal RNA, 1392 nt
Filed under: Psepholax leoninus
Lineage: Eukaryota; Metazoa; Arthropoda; Insecta; Coleoptera; Curculionidae
Description: partial 16S ribosomal RNA
Source: RNAcentral
UUCUAGAAAAUUAAAAAAAAUGGCGGUAUUUUAGUCUAUUCAGAGGAACCUGUCCUGUAAUUGAUAGUCCACGUUUAAAGGUACUUAUUUUUUUAAUUUGCAUAUCGCUGUGAGACGAAUAUUUUUUUAGAAAAAAAUAUUCAAAAUAUUUAGUUAAAAGUAAAUCAGGUCAAGAUGCAGUUUAUAAAUAAGGAGAGAUGGGUUACAAUAAAUAUAUUUAUAUGAAUAAGUUUUUUAAAAUAGUUUUGAAGGUGGAUUUGAAGGUAAUUUUAAGAAUAUUCUUAGAAUGAUUUAGGCUCUAAAAUAUGUACAUAUUGCCCGUCGCUUUCAUUUUAAAAUGAAAUAAGUCGUAACAUAGUAGAUGUACUGGAAAGUGUAUCUAGAAAGUCAAAUUAGAGCUUGAGGAGUAUUUUAGUUACAUUAAAAAGGUUAUUAAUAAUUAAUAUAAUUUGAGAUAAAUAAAUUAUUUAAUGAUUAAUUAAUUAUAAAUUAAUAUUGAAAAUUAAAAAAAAUAAUUUAUUAUUUUAUUAUUUUGUACAAAUAAAUGUGUAUAUGGUUUAAGUAAUUAUAGGGUAUUAGUAUUGUGAAAGAAAUUUUUUUAUUGUGUAAAAGAAAAAUUUAUUUUUUGUACCUGGGUAUCAGGGGANNNNNNNNNNNNNNNNNNNNNNNNNNAGUUAUAAGUAUAUAAUUUUUAUUGUAGAAUAAUUAUUAUAAAUAUAUUUAUAGAAGUGAAAUGCUAUUCGAUUUUAAAUAUAUCUAGUUUUUUAAGAAAAAAAUUUAAAUUUAUUUUUAUUUAAUUAUAGAUUUAAAUGUUUAAUUUUAUAAUAGUAAAAUUUUAUAUUUUAGGGGAUGAGCUUUAAAAUAAAGAGAUAUAAUUUAUAUAAAAAUAUAAAUAUUAAGUAGAAUUAUAAGUUUUUAUCUUUAUUAGUGUUUUAUAACUAUAUAUAUAUAUAUGUGUAUAUUAAAUUUAUAGUAUGGAUUUAUAUAUUUUAUUAAAAUAUAAUAUUUAAUAAGAAAAUAUUAGUAAAAAUGAUGGAAUUAGUAUAAGUUAAUAGGUAGAGAGUUUAAAUUUUUGAAAGGUAAAAUAAAGGAAUUCGGCAAAUUUAUUUUUCACCUGUUUAUUAAAAACAUGGCUUAUUGAUAUUGAUUUUAAGUCUAACCUGCCCAAUGAUGGAUAAUUAAAUGGCCGCAGUAUAUUGACUGUGCAAAGGUAGCAUAAUCAUUAGUUUUUUAAUUGAAAGCUUGUAUGAAAGGUUUGAUGAAAAAAUAACUGUCUCUGUUUUAAUUUUUUAAAAAUUUAUUUUUAAGUUAAAAAGCUUAAAUAAAUAUAGAAGACGAGAAGACCCUAUAGAGUUUUAUAUCUAAAAUUAUAAUUAAUGUUUUGGUAUUUUA